AUGUGGAGCGGGCUUGCUCGCGAAUGCAGAGUGUCAGUCGAUACAUAUGUCGCUGAUACACCGCUUUCGCGAGCAAGCCCGCUCCCACA
Molecule: unclassified non-coding RNA, 89 nt
Filed under: Pseudomonas cedrina
Lineage: Bacteria; Pseudomonadati; Pseudomonadota; Gammaproteobacteria; Pseudomonadales; Pseudomonadaceae
Source: RNAcentral